This is a long non-coding RNA of Canis lupus familiaris (dog), 628 nucleotides long. RefSeq lists it as uncharacterized. Lineage: Eukaryota; Metazoa; Chordata; Mammalia; Carnivora; Canidae. The transcript has 5 exons. The record is from RefSeq and is a predicted model, not a curated record.
GAUAAAAGUCUAUAGCCUUUGAUCAGUCUUGAGGAAGAAAGUCUUAUUGUAUCUUAUUCCUCCACAGAGUAAUGAUAAGAAUUAAAUAGAAAGCAUUAUCCCCAUUUUACAGGUUCCUCUUCACUUCUUGAAGAUGGGAAGUCCUAAUCUGGCUAACUGAUCUAGUCGAUAAUGAGCACCCAAUGCUGAAUAGGGGACUCAGGUGGGAAGUCAUCUACAAAACCACAGGCAUUCCAUCAUCUCACAUCAUCACAAGAAGAUGGGCUCAUAGAAAUUUGCGAGGACUCGGAGAACUGGAUUGCUAUAACAUCUUUCUAAGAUCUGCUUCAGGCAAUGCAUUUCAGCAAAGAACAAGCCAUGGAAGAUCGCAGGUAUCUGAAAUCACAGGAGACAGUGCCAGAGGUGGACAUGGAAAAAGGAGACAGUGGGCACCUGCACGUGAAUGAAGAGACCUGACUGUGGAAUGUUCAAGAAGUUUAUUAAAGAAUUGGACAGUAUUCCUCAUGGUCUUUGUGAAGCCUUCGACUUACUAACUGCCAGUGCAAUGUGGUAUUACAAAGAUAAUAGCCUUUAUCAGAAGUUCAGCUUUCUAUUCCUACCUUAAAAAGCAGUAGCUUAAUAAACUUGA